GGGAUGACACAGUAGGAUAAGCUAAGCACACUGUUGGUUAUGUGUGCCCAAGCAUUGAGGCAGUCAAAGUAGGCAAAUCCGCUUUGAUAAUGCUGGGAUGUGAUGGGGAGCGAAAUUUAGUAGCGAAGUAGCUGAUUUCACACUGUCAAGAAAAGUCUCUAUCGAGGUUAAAGGUACCCGUACCGCAAACCGACACAGGUGGGUGAGGAGAGUAUCCUAAGGCCAGCGAGAGAACUGUUGUUAAGGAACUCGGCAAAAUGACCCCGUAACUUAGGGAUAAGGGGUGCCACCAUCAGGUGGCCGCAGAGAAUAGGCCCAAGCGACUGUUUACCAAAAACAUAGGUUUCUGCUAAGUCGCAAGACGAUGUAUAGGAGCUGACGCCUGCCCGGUGCUGGAAGGUUAAGGGGAUCUGUUAGAGCAAUCGAAGCAGUGAACUUAAGCCCCAGUAAACGGCGGCCGUAACUAUAACGGUCCUAAGGUAGCGAAAUUCCUUGUCGGGUAAGUUCCGACCCGCACGAAAGGCGUAACGAUUUGGGCACUGUCUCAACAACAGACU
This 557-nucleotide ribosomal RNA is filed under the name Clostridioides difficile. Its description in RNAcentral is "partial 23S ribosomal RNA". It matches the Rfam family "Bacterial large subunit ribosomal RNA", at positions 1466 to 2033 of the family's 2925-position model. The record is from RNAcentral. Lineage: Bacteria; Bacillati; Bacillota; Clostridia; Peptostreptococcales; Peptostreptococcaceae.